GAUGAACGCUGGCGGCGUGCCUAACACAUGCAAGUCGAACGAAGCAAUUAGAAUGAAGUUUUCGGAUGGAUUUUUAAUUGACUGAGUGGCGGACGGGUGAGUAACGCGUGGAUAACCUGCCUCACACUGGGGGAUAACAGUUAGAAAUGACUGCUAAUACCGCAUAAGCGCACAGUACCGCAUGGCACGGUGUGAAAAACUCCGGUGGUAUGAGAUGGACCCGCGUCUGAUUAGCUAGUUGGUGAGGUAACGGCCCACCAAGGCGACGAUCAGUAGCCGACCUGAGAGGGUGACCGGCCACAUUGGGACUGAGACACGGCCCAG
This 324-nucleotide ribosomal RNA is filed under the name uncultured bacterium. RNAcentral's name for it is "bacterial SSU rRNA". It matches the Rfam family "Bacterial small subunit ribosomal RNA", at positions 28 to 334 of the family's 1533-position model. The record is from RNAcentral.